GCCACAAUAGCUCAGUUGGUAGAGCGCGACAUUGGUAAUGUCGAGGUCCUGAGUUCAACUCUCAGUUGUGGCU
Molecule: transfer RNA, 73 nt
Filed under: Candidatus Pacearchaeota archaeon
Lineage: Archaea; Nanobdellati
Description: tRNA-Thr
Rfam family: tRNA
About the family: Transfer RNA (tRNA) molecules are approximately 80 nucleotides in length. Their secondary structure includes four short double-helical elements and three loops (D, anti-codon, and T loops). Further hydrogen bonds mediate the characteristic L-shaped molecular structure. tRNAs have two regions of fundamental functional importance: the anti-codon, which is responsible for specific mRNA codon recognition, and the 3' end, to which the tRNAs corresponding amino acid is attached (by aminoacyl-tRNA synthetases). tRNAs cope with the degeneracy of the genetic code in two manners: having more than one tRNA (with a specific anti-codon) for a particular amino acid; and 'wobble' base-pairing, i.e. permitting non-standard base-pairing at the 3rd anti-codon position.
Source: RNAcentral